This 253-nucleotide ribosomal RNA is filed under the name uncultured bacterium. RNAcentral's name for it is "partial 16S ribosomal RNA". It matches the Rfam family "Bacterial small subunit ribosomal RNA", at positions 524 to 776 of the family's 1533-position model. The record is from RNAcentral.
UACAGAGGUGGCAAGCGUUGUUCGGAAUUACUGGGCGUAAAGGGCUCGUAGGUGGCCAACUAAGUCACACGUGAAAUCCCUCGGCUUAACCGGGGAACUGCGUGUGAUACUGGAUGGCUUGAGUUUGGGAGAGGGAUGCGGAAUUCCAGGUGUAGCGGUGAAAUGCGUAGAUAUCUGGAGGAACACCGGUGGCGAAGGCGGCAUCCUGGACCAAUACUGACGCUGAGGAGCGAAAGCCAGGGGAGCAAACGGG